This 381-nucleotide ribosomal RNA is filed under the name Salmonella enterica subsp. enterica serovar Infantis. RNAcentral describes it as "partial 23S ribosomal RNA". It matches the Rfam family "Bacterial large subunit ribosomal RNA", at positions 140 to 559 of the family's 2925-position model. The record is from RNAcentral. RNAcentral also lists the same sequence under 17 other names. Lineage: Bacteria; Pseudomonadati; Pseudomonadota; Gammaproteobacteria; Enterobacterales; Enterobacteriaceae.
UCGUCACACUAUCAUUAACUGAAUCCAUAGGUUAAUGAGGCGAACCGGGGGAACUGAAACAUCUAAGUACCCCGAGGAAAAGAAAUCAACCGAGAUUCCCCCAGUAGCGGCGAGCGAACGGGGAGGAGCCCAGAGCCUGAAUCAGCAUGUGUGUUAGUGGAAGCGUCUGGAAAGGCGCGCGAUACAGGGUGACAGCCCCGUACACAAAAGCGCAUGUGCUGUGAGCUCGAUGAGUAGGGCGGGACACGUGGUAUCCUGUCUGAAUAUGGGGGGACCAUCCUCCAAGGCUAAAUACUCCUGACUGACCGAUAGUGAACCAGUACCGUGAGGGAAAGGCGAAAAGAACCCCGGCGAGGGGAGUGAAAAAGAACCUGAAACCGU